AUUUGACCUUGAAUUUCAGUUGUGCAAGCGGGAGCCCCUUGGAGUCAGCCGCCUGCUAGAUUUUUUCCAGGACAGGGUCAGCUCAGGUCCACGAUCCUGUACACGUGGAGUCGGGACCGCUCUUCUGUCCGGUUUCCUCACUCAGCAUAAUUAUUUUGAGGAUCAUCCAUGUUGCGGCAUCAAUCGUCCCUUACAUUUUAUGUAUUUUUAUUUUAUUUUACUUUAUUAUUUAUUUGUUUAUUUAUUGCAUCUGGCUGGUGCAGGGACUGAAAAUUCAUUGCAUUUUAGUGCUGAGCUUUGUUCCAUUGUAUGGAUGAAUAGACCACACGCUGCUUACCCAUCACCUGUUGAUGGACUUUUGGGUUGUUUCCACUUUGGGGUUAUUACAAAUGAUAAUAAAUACUACUGUGUGCAGA
Molecule: long non-coding RNA, 416 nt
Organism: Galeopterus variegatus (Sunda flying lemur)
Lineage: Eukaryota; Metazoa; Chordata; Mammalia; Dermoptera; Cynocephalidae
Exons: 2
Source: RefSeq, a predicted model, not a curated record